AAGACCAUACUUUCAGGGAUCAUUUCUAUAGUUUCUGACUAGGAAAUGCGUGAAUCAUGCACAACGUGAGGUAUCUAUCUCAUGCUUUGUCAUUGAUGACUGUUCCUGUUCUUCUUUGGAGAGCAGGGGGAGAGUUGACAUUUUCAGA
Molecule: small nucleolar RNA, 148 nt
Gene: U3
Rfam family: Small nucleolar RNA U3
About the family: Small nucleolar RNAs (snoRNAs) are involved in the processing and modification of rRNA in the nucleolus. There are two main classes of snoRNAs: the box C/D class, and the box H/ACA class. U3 snoRNA is a member of the box C/D class.
Source: Ensembl